GAUGAAGAACGUAGCGAAAUGCGAUAAGUAAUGUGAAUUGCAGAAUUCAGUGAAUCAUCGAAUCUUUGAACGCACAUUGCGCCCGUCAGUAUUCUGGCGGGCAUGCCUGUUCGAGCGUCAUUACGCCCCUCAAGUCCCCUGUGGACUUGGUGUUGGGGAUCGGCGAGGCUGGUUUUCCAGCACAGCCGUCCCUUAAAUUGAUUGGCGGUCUCGCCGUGGCCCUCCUCUGCGCAGUAGUAAAACACUCGCAACAGGAGCCCGGCGCGGUCCACUGCCGUAAAACCCCCCAACUUUUUAUAGUUGACCUCGAAUCAGGUAGGACUACCCGCUGAACUUAAGCAUAUCAAUAAGCGGAGGA
RNAcentral lists this unclassified non-coding RNA (358 nucleotides) under soil metagenome. RNAcentral's name for it is "partial contains 5.8S ribosomal RNA, internal transcribed spacer 2, and large subunit ribosomal RNA". The stretch from base 1 to 120 matches the Rfam family "5.8S ribosomal RNA", at positions 35 to 154 of the family's 154-position model. The record is from RNAcentral.